This 253-nucleotide ribosomal RNA is filed under the name uncultured bacterium. Its description in RNAcentral is "partial 16S ribosomal RNA". It matches the Rfam family "Bacterial small subunit ribosomal RNA", at positions 524 to 776 of the family's 1533-position model. The record is from RNAcentral.
UACGUAGGGUGCGAGCGUUGUCCGGAAUUACUGGGCGUAAAGGGCGCGUAGGCGGCCUGAUAAGUAGGGGGUGAAAUCCUGCGGCUUAACCGCAGAGCUGCCUUCUAAACUGUCAGGCUCGAGCACAGUAGAGGCAGGUGGAAUUCCCGGUGUAGCGGUGGAAUGCGUUGAUAUCCUAAGGAACACCGGUGGCGAAAGCGGCUCACUGGAUCUCUUCUGACGCUGAGGCACGAAAGCUAGGGUAGCGAACGGG